This 1489-nucleotide ribosomal RNA is filed under the name uncultured Bordetella sp. RNAcentral describes it as "partial 16S-23S ribosomal RNA intergenic spacer". It matches the Rfam family "Bacterial small subunit ribosomal RNA". Lineage: Bacteria; Pseudomonadati; Pseudomonadota; Betaproteobacteria; Burkholderiales; Alcaligenaceae. The record is from RNAcentral.
UUCGAUCAUGAAAUAGUUGAACGUUGGCGGGAUGCUUUUACACAUGCAAGUCAGACGGCAGCACGGGCGAGUGCAGUUUGGCGAGUGGCGAACGGGCGAAGUAAUGUAUCCUGAACGUGUCUAGUAGCGAGGGGAUAACUACGCCAGCGUAAUACCGCAUACGCCCUUCGGGGAAAGCGGGGGGACCUUCCCGGGGCCUCCGCACUAUUAGAAGCGGCCGAUAUCGGAUUAGCUAGUUGGUGGGGUAACGACUCACCAAGGCGACGAUCAGCCAGCUGGUUUGAGAGGACGACCAGCCACACUGGGACUGAGACACGGCCCAGACUCCCUACGGGAGGCAGCAGUGGGGAAUUUUGGACAAUGGGGGAAACCUGAUCCAGCCAUCCCGCAUUGUGCGAUGAAGGCCUUCGGGUUGUAAAGCACUUGGCAGGAAAGAAACGGCACGGGAUAAUACCCCGAUACAGCUGACAGUACCUGCAGAAUAAGCACCGGCUAACUACGUGCCAGCAUGCAGACAGCCACGCUCGGUACCAGCGUUAAUCAAGAUUACCGGGCGUAAAGCGUGCGCAGGCGGUUCGGAAGAAGAUGUGAAAUCCCAGAGCUUAACUUUGGAACUGCAUUUUUAACUACCGAGCUAGAGUGUGUCAGAGUGGAAUUCCCGCGUCUUAGCAGUGAAAUAAAAUGAUAUACCGGGAGGAGGAACACCGAUGCUUGAAAACCAGCCUCCUGGAUAACACUGACGCUCAUGCACGAAAAGCGUGAGGGAGCAAACCAGGAUUAGAUACCCUGGUAGUCCACGCCCUAAACGAUGUCAACUGGCUGUUGGGGCCUUCAGACGCCCGGUAGCGCAGCUAACGCGCGUGAGGCCCAUUACGCCACAGAGUGCGGUCACCAAGAUUAAAAACUCAAGGAGUUGACGAGGACCCGCACAAGCGGUGGAUGAUGUGGAUUAAUUCGAUGCAACGCGAGCCACCUACCCUUGGCAUAUCUGGAAUCCCGAAAGAGAUUUGAUGCUCGCAGAACGGAACACAGGUGCUGUGGCUGUCGUCAGCUCGUGUCGUGAGAUGUUGGUUCAGGUCCCGCAACGAGCGCAACCCUUGUCGAAGCGAAUUUGCUGAAAGACGCUCUAAUGAGACUGCCGGUGACAAAACCCGAGGAAGGUGGGGAUGACGUCCAGUCCUCAUAGCCCUUAUGGGUAGGGCUUUACACGUCAUACAAUGGUCGGGACAGAGGGUCGCCAGCCCGCGAGGGGAGCCAAUCCCAGAAACCCGAUCGUAGUCCGGAUCGCAAUCUGCAACUCGACUGCGCAUUGAAGUCCCGGAAUCGCUAGUAAUCGCGGAUCAGCAUGUCGCGGUGAAUACGUUCCGGAUGUACACACGCCCGUCACACCAUGAAUUAGGUUUUGCCAGAAGUAGUUAGCCUAACCGUAAGGAGGGCGAUUACCACGGUAGGAUUCAUGACACAAGGGGUGAAGUCGUAACAAAGGUAA